CAGUCACGACGCAUAUCAAUAAGCGGAGGAAAAGAAACCAACAGGGAUUGCCCCAGUAACGGCGAGUGAAGCGGCAACAGCUCAAAUUUGAAAUCUGGCCCCUCCGGGUCCGAGUUGUAAUUUGUAGAGGAUGCUUUUGGUGAGGUGCCGCCCGAGUUCCCUGGAACGGGACGCCACAGAGGGUGAGAGCCCCGUCUGGCUGGCCACCGAGCCUCUGUAAAGCUCCUUCGACGAGUCGAGUAGUUUGGGAAUGCUGCUCAAAAUGGGAGGUAUAUGUCUUCUAAAGCUAAAUAUUGGCCAGAGACCGAUAGCGCACAAGUAGAGUGAUCGAAAGAUGAAAAGCACCUUGAAAAGAGGGUUAAACAGUACGUGAAAUUGUUGAAAGGGAAGCGCUUGUGACCAGACUUGGGCGCGGCGGAUCAUCCGGGGUUCUCUCCGGUGCACUUCGCCGCGUUCAGGCCAGCAUCAGUUCGUCGCGGGGGAAAAAGGCUUCGGGAACGUGGCUCCUCCGGGAGUGUUAUAGCCCGUUGCAUAAUACCCUGCGGUGGACUGAGGACCGCGCAUCUGCAAGGAUGCUGGCGUAAGGUC
RNAcentral lists this ribosomal RNA (588 nucleotides) under Trichoderma asperellum. Its description in RNAcentral is "eukaryotic LSU rRNA". It matches the Rfam family "Eukaryotic large subunit ribosomal RNA", at positions 28 to 639 of the family's 3401-position model. Lineage: Eukaryota; Fungi; Ascomycota; Sordariomycetes; Hypocreales; Hypocreaceae. The record is from RNAcentral.